This 403-nucleotide ribosomal RNA is filed under the name uncultured bacterium. RNAcentral describes it as "bacterial SSU rRNA". It matches the Rfam family "Bacterial small subunit ribosomal RNA", at positions 355 to 774 of the family's 1533-position model. The record is from RNAcentral.
UAGGGAAUAUUGCAAAAUGGGCGAAAGCCCGAUGCAGCAACGCCGCGUGGGCGAUGAAGGCCUUCGGGUCGUAAAGCCCUUUUUGAGGGGAUGAGGAAGGACAGUACCCUCAGAAUAAGCCUCGGCUAACUCCGUGCCAGCAGCCGCGGUAAUACGGAGGGUGCAAGCGUUAAUCGGAAUUACUGGGCGUAAAGCGCGCGUAGGCGGCCAUUUAAACUAGAUGUGAAAGCCCAGGGCUUAACCUUGGAAUUGCAUUUAGAACUGUAUGGCUAGAGUAUGGUAGAGGAGUGCGGAAUUUCAGGUGUAGCGGUGAAAUGCGUAGAGAUCUGAAGGAACAUCAGUGGCGAAGGCGACACUCUGGUCCAAUACUGACGCUGAGGUGCGAAAGCGUGGGGAUCAAACA